Non-coding RNA from Musa acuminata subsp. malaccensis (wild Malaysian banana), 81 nucleotides. Lineage: Eukaryota; Viridiplantae; Streptophyta; Magnoliopsida; Zingiberales; Musaceae. The record is from Rfam.
AUGUUGGAUGAUGAAAAAAAUCAGACGGAUUCCCAAUGAUGUCCAAAAGAUGAUAUCAGAAACCAGCUACUUCUGACACAU